CGGCGUGCCUAAUACAUGCAAGUCGAACGCUUCACAUCGGUGAAGAGUGGCGAACGGGUGAGUAAUACAUAAGUAACCUGGCAUCUACAGGGGGAUAACUGAUGGAAACGUCAGCUAAGACCGCAUAGGUGUAGAGAUCGCAUGAACUCUAUAUGAAAAGUGCUACGGGACUGGUAGAUGAUGGACUUAUGGCGCAUUAGCUUGUUGGUAGGGUAACGGCCUACCAAGGCGACGAUGCGUAGCCGACCUGAGAGGGUGACCGGCCACACUGGGACUGAGACACGGCCCAGACUCCUACGGGAGGCAGCAGUAGGGAAUUUUCGGCAAUGGGGGAAACCCUGACCGAGCAACGCCGCGUGAAGGAAGAAGUAAUUCGUUAUGUAAACUUCUGUCAUAGAGGAAGAACGGUGGAUAUAGGGAAUGAUAUCCAAGUGACGGUACUCUAUAAGAAAGCCACGGCUAACUACGUGCCAGCAGCCGCGGUAAUACGUAGGUGGCGAGCGUUAUCCGGAAUUAUUGGGCGUAAAGAGGGAGCAGGCGGCACUAAGGGUCUGUGGUGAAAGACCGAAGCUUAACUUCGGUAAGCCAUGGAAACCGUAGAGCUAGAGUGUGUGAGAGGAUCGUGGAAUUCCAUGUGUAGCGGUGAAAUGCGUAGAUAUAUGGAGGAACACCAGUGGCGAAGGCGACGAUCUGGCGCAUAACUGACGCUCAGUCCCGAAAGCGUGGGGAGCAAAUAGGAUUAGAUACCCUAGUAGUCCACGCCGUAAACGAUGAGUACUAAGUGUUGGGGGGGGUCAAACCUCAGUGCUGCAGUUAACGCAAUAAGUACUCCGCCUGAGUAGUACGUUCGCAAGAAUGAAACUCAAAGGAAUUGACGGGGGCCCGCACAAGCGGUGGAGCAUGUGGUUUAAUUCGAAGCAACGCGAAGAACCUUACCAGGUCUUGACAUCGAUCUAAAGGCUCCAGAGAUGGAGAGAUAGCUAUAGAGAAGACAGGUGGUGCAUGGUUGUCGUCAGCUCGUGUCGUGAGAUGUUGGGUUAAGUCCCGCAACGAGCGCAACCCCUGUUGCCAGUUGCCAGCAUUAAGUUGGGGACUCUGGCGAGACUGCCGGUGACAAGCCGGAGGAAGGCGGGGAUGACGUCAAAUCAUCAUGCCCCUUAUGACCUGGGCUACACACGUGCUACAAUGGACAGAGCAGAGGGAAGCGAAGCCGCGAGGUGGAGCGAAACCCAUAAAACUGUUCUCAGUUCGGACUGCAGUCUGCAACUCGACUGCACGAAGAUGGAAUCGCUAGUAAUCGCGAAUCAGCAUGUCGCGGUGAAUACGUUCUCGGGCCUUGUACACACCGCCCGUCACACCAUGAGAGUCGGUAACACCCGAAGCCGGUGGCCUAACCGCAAGGAAGGAGCUGUCUAAGGUGGGACUGAUGAUUGGGGUGAAGUCGUA
This 1446-nucleotide ribosomal RNA is filed under the name uncultured organism. RNAcentral's name for it is "SSU rRNA". It matches the Rfam family "Bacterial small subunit ribosomal RNA". The record is from RNAcentral.